AUCCAGCAGACGAGUCCCAAAUGGGACGAAACGCGCAUCCAUGCAU
Schistosoma mansoni is the source of this 46-nucleotide non-coding RNA. The record is from Rfam. NCBI's taxonomy places the organism in Eukaryota, Metazoa, Platyhelminthes, Trematoda, Strigeidida, Schistosomatidae.